Molecule: unclassified non-coding RNA, 337 nt
Filed under: soil metagenome
Description: partial contains 5.8S ribosomal RNA, internal transcribed spacer 2, and large subunit ribosomal RNA
Rfam family: 5.8S ribosomal RNA (bases 1-120)
Source: RNAcentral
GAUGAAGAACGCAGCGAAAUGCGAUAAGUAAUGUGAAUUGCAGAAUUCAGUGAAUCAUCGAAUCUUUGAACGCACAUUGCGCCCGCCAGUAUUCUGGCGGGCAUGCCUGUUUGAGCGCCAUUUCAACCAUCAAGCCCCCCGGCUUGUGUUGGGGACCUGCGGCUGCCGCAGGCCCUGAAAAGCAGUGGCGGGCUCGCUGUCACACCGAGCGUAGUAGAUCUCAUCUCGCUCAGGGCGUGCUGCGGGUUCCGGCCGUUAAACCACCUUCAUAACCCAAGGUUGACCUCGGAUCAGGUAGGAAGACCCGCUGAACUUAAGCAUAUCAAUAAGCGGAGGA